AGAGGGGUGCGAGCGUUAAUCGGAAUUACUGGGCGUAAAGCGCACGUAGGCGGAUAUUUAAGUCGGGAUGUAAAAUCCCUAGGCUCAACCUAGGAACGCCAUUCGAUACUGGAUAUCUAGAGUUUGGUAGGGGAAGUAGAAUUUCCGGAGUAGCGGUGAAAUGCGUAGAUACCGGAAGGAAUGCCGGUGGCGAAGGCGACUUCCUGGGCCAAUACUGACGCUGAGGUGCGAAAGCAUGGGGAGCAAACAGGAUUAGAUACCCUGGUAGUCCAUGCUGUAAACGAUGAGAACUAGACGUUGGGAAUUUUGUCUUCAGUGUCGAAGCUAACGCAUUAAGUUCUCCGCCUGAGGAUUACGACCGCAAGGUUA
Molecule: ribosomal RNA, 369 nt
Filed under: uncultured organism
Description: partial 16S ribosomal RNA
Rfam family: Bacterial small subunit ribosomal RNA
Source: RNAcentral